RNAcentral lists this long non-coding RNA (276 nucleotides) under Elaeis guineensis (African oil palm). Its description in RNAcentral is "long non-coding RNA (EGUI_LNC057557)". Lineage: Eukaryota; Viridiplantae; Streptophyta; Magnoliopsida; Arecales; Arecaceae. The record is from RNAcentral.
UAUCGAUCAAAGUAGUCCUAAGAACUUCAUCAUAAAAUAAAAGUUCGUUAGAAGAUAUAUCUUUGUGAUGAAAAAUAUCAAAUAAUUUUUAUUAUUUAUCAUUCAUAUAUAUUUAUAAUUAGUACAAUCGUCAAACGAUUGGCUUUAGGACACAAUUUUCAACAUUGCCCACCAUUUUUUACCCAUUUUUCUUUCUCCAGAGCUUGGUUCCCCAUCCUCUUGGUUGGUUCUUGCUGUCCUUUGAUCUCCCAUGGCACAGAAGAUAAAACUUCCCCA